GGGGCUGAUUCUGGAUUCGACGGGAUUCGCGAAACCCAAGGUGCAUGCCGAGGGGCGGUUGGCCUCGUAAAAAGCCGCAAAAAAAUAGUCGCAAACGACGAAAACUACGCUUUAGCAGCUUAAUAACCUGCUUAGAGCCCUCUCUCCCUAGCCUCCGCUCUUAGGACGGGGAUCAAGAGAGGGUCAAACCCAAAAGAGAUCGCGUGGAUGCCCUGCCUGGGGUUGAAGCGUUAAAACUAAUCAGGCUAGUCUGGUAGUGGCGUGUCCGUCCGCAGCUGCCAGGCGAAUGUAAAGACUGGACUAAGCAUGUAGUACCGAGGAUGUAGGAAUUUCGGACGCGGGUUCAACUCCCGCCAGCUCCACCA
RNAcentral lists this transfer-messenger RNA (365 nucleotides) under Cronobacter sakazakii. RNAcentral's name for it is "Standard tmRNA". It matches the Rfam family "transfer-messenger RNA". Rfam says of the family: Bacterial tmRNA, also known as 10Sa RNA or SsrA, is named for its dual tRNA and mRNA-like properties. Its role is to liberate the mRNA from a stalled ribosome. The record is from RNAcentral. Lineage: Bacteria; Pseudomonadati; Pseudomonadota; Gammaproteobacteria; Enterobacterales; Enterobacteriaceae.